RNAcentral lists this unclassified non-coding RNA (267 nucleotides) under Hevea brasiliensis (rubber tree). Lineage: Eukaryota; Viridiplantae; Streptophyta; Magnoliopsida; Malpighiales; Euphorbiaceae. The record is from RNAcentral.
UAACACUCCACACUGUCCAGGAACGUGUGACCAUCAUAGCCUCCAAGGACGUAGAUUCUCCCCUGGUGGACAGUGAUCCCCAGGGCACUUCGCCGGUGCUUCAUGGGGGCUACGAAAGUCCACGUCUCUGUUUCCACAUCGUAGCGCUCCACGCUGUUCAGCUGGUCCUGACCAUCAUAGCCCCCAGCAGCAUAGAUACAGUUGUGCAGGACGCAGACGCCUGCCCCGCUUCGGAUGGUGUUCAUUGCUGUGAUCAUUCGCCACUCG